AUGGCCAUGACGAUCAUCUCCCAGUCCAUCGACAACUCGACGCUGCUGCGAGUUGCGGAGAAGGAGACCGCAGCCGAUGUGCGGGCGGCGCUACGCUCCAUGCAUGUCGGUGUCGAGCGCGUCCGAGAGGCGAGGGUUCAACCCUUGUGCUCGGAAUUUGAUGGCCUCAAGAUGGGUGAUGCGGAGUCCGUGGAUGAUUUCGCGGCGAGGUUCACGACGCUCGUGGGGCGCAUCCGUGAGCUUGGUGAUGCGAUGGAGGAGAAGUACGUCGUGAAGAAGCUGCUCCGAGCCGUCUCCAACAAGUUCAUCCACGUUGCGUCAUCGAUUGCAUUGUUCGGCGACACCAACAAGAUGGCCAUGGAGGAGGCCAUUGGUUCACUCAAGGCGCACGAGGAGCUCGUCAAGGGGCGGGAGACGGCACGUGAAGAAGAGCAGCUCCUCAUGGCGAGAGGGCAUGACUCAUCGCGAGGACGUGGCCGUGGUGGCCGUGGCCAUGGCCGUGGUGGAGGGCGCAGAGACAAGAGCGAAGUACAAUGCUAUAAUUGUGAUGCCUUUGGGCAUUUUGCUUGGGAGUGUCCGGAGAAGAAGAAGGACAAUGAGGAGAAGGCACUGCUCGGCGUGGACGAGCCGGCUCUUCUCUGA
Molecule: ribosomal RNA, 642 nt
Filed under: Triticum aestivum (bread wheat)
Lineage: Eukaryota; Viridiplantae; Streptophyta; Magnoliopsida; Poales; Poaceae
Description: partial small subunit ribosomal RNA
Source: RNAcentral